This 1138-nucleotide long non-coding RNA is filed under the name Salvia miltiorrhiza (redroot sage). RNAcentral's name for it is "long non-coding RNA (SMIL_LNC006727)". The record is from RNAcentral. Lineage: Eukaryota; Viridiplantae; Streptophyta; Magnoliopsida; Lamiales; Lamiaceae.
UCAGAUUUAAAUAAAUUAAAAUUAAUAACCUUCUUUAAAACAUAAAACAAGUUAAUCUCUCUCUGUUUUCUAUUUCUUCCCCACGCAGACAUCUCUCCCUCUCUUCGCUCCCUCUCUCGGCCGCCUCUCUCUCCCCCCUUCUCCGGCGAGCGUCGCCGGCUCGCGCCGCUUCCGGCGCGGCGAGGCUGACGCAUCUUCUCCCCUUCCGCUUUCUUCCCUCUCCUUCCUACAUUUAAUUCCCAAAUUCUAAAAUCAAUUCAACCUAGGGUUUUCAAUCUUCCCCAUCAAUUUUACUCCUCUGGAGAAUCCCGGCGAAUAACGUCGCCGCCGCCCCAGCUCGUCGGAUUUCCGCUCCUCCGUCGUUCUCCCUGCCUCAGGUAAGUCCCCUAUCUCUCUUCUUCUCUCUAUAUCCUCCCUCUCAGUCUCUCUCACUCUGCCCCUCUCGAUCUCUCUCUCUGCCCUGUUCGCGGCGGCCGCCGUGAGCCGUGGCUGCGUAGCAGCGCCGGCGCCGCCCUUACUCCUCUUUUCUUCCUCGUUUGCUCUGCCUCCCCCUUGUCUCUCUCUCGUCUCUCUAUCUCUGUCUCUAUCUCUCUGUUGCCAGCCACCGUGGGCCGCCGUAGCGCGGGCAGCACCGGCGGUCAUCGCCAUCAGCUGCGCCCCGCCGUGGUGGCUCGCGGCUGCCGCUGCUACCGUCCCUGUUCUUCUUUCCCUUUUAUCCAUCUAAUUCUCAGAUUUUUACUUCCUCAAACUAAUAAGUCUCAAACUAUUUUCCAUUUCAGGAAUCGAUGAUUCAAGGGAUCUCCAGUUCGUCUACUGCUCAAGAUCCAAUUUUUAUAUGUUAUAAACCUAUUUUCCUUUAUUGCUUAUUGUAAAACUGAGAUUUUGAUGGUGAGGAAACAAUACUGUAUCGUUACUAUGCUUAUGUGUAGCUAUGUCUUUUCUGCUGCUCUUGAUUGUUCCUUUUAUACACAAGGAAUUGAUUGAAUUGUAUACAAGAAAACUACCUGCUUUGCUUGAUGCUGCUAUAAACUGCUGGGGAUUGUAAAUGAUCGUGGUUGAGUCGAAAUUAUUUGGUCAAGUAAUUAUAGUCGUAAUUACUUUUCAUCACAAUAAUAAUUAUUUUGAAUAACGUAGAAAU